This 24-nucleotide non-coding RNA is filed under the name Rattus norvegicus (Norway rat). Lineage: Eukaryota; Metazoa; Chordata; Mammalia; Rodentia; Muridae. The record is from RNAcentral.
CUACAAGAUUGAGGUGAAGAUUCU